RNAcentral lists this ribosomal RNA (253 nucleotides) under uncultured bacterium. RNAcentral's name for it is "partial 16S ribosomal RNA". It matches the Rfam family "Bacterial small subunit ribosomal RNA", at positions 524 to 776 of the family's 1533-position model. The record is from RNAcentral.
UACGUACCGUCCAAACGUUAUCCGGAAUCACUGGGCUUAAAGAGUUUGUAGGCGGCGGAGAAAGUCGGGUGUGAAAGCCCUCGGCUCAACCGAGGAAUAGCGCCCUAAACUACUUCGCUUGAGGAGGCUAGAGGUGAGCAGAACAGAUGGUGGAGCGGUGAAAUGCGUUGAUAUCAUCUGGAAUACCGGAGGCGAAGGCGGCUCGCUGGGACGUUUCUGACGCUGAGGAACGAAAGCGAGGGUAGCGAACGGG